UUAAAAUAUAAUAUUAGUCCAGCUAUAUGUACCUGAAAUCACCGGAAACAACCUCCUCAGCUAACUCAACAUGAAAUUGAUAGCCACACAGAAAAAGUAAAUAACUGAAUUUGAGCAUAGUAUUCUGACUGUGCACUAUGGGCUAGAAUCUAGCCAUAGAAUAAGAAAACAAAAAAAGCACAGAAAAAUCUCAAGCUGAGUAGACUUAUUGUUAGUGGCAAUGUUUGUAUUGAAACCUUAGGACAGUUUUGUUGUAGUACAUAGUUAUAAAAAAAUAAGUAGCCACACAGAUGUUGCAUGGUUUUCACUGUAGGGGGAAAGAGAUAGAAAUAUGUAACUCAGAAGCCAAGACAAAACCCGUGCAAUGUUAAGUUUGAGUCAGUAUUAAAUGAAUGCCCAGCAGCAUGUGCAUGCAUCUUAUUUUCUAAACAUUUUCUCCACUUAAAGGAACCAUGACUCCAGAUAUGGGGCCAGGUUGUCUCAAACCCUAUGGGAGCCACCUUGGAGUUUCUGCCUGUCAGAUUUGGCACCAGCUGAAUAUUUGAAAGAGUAAUGAUGGUGAUCCGAAUAAGCAUAGUUUCUCAAGAAUAAAGAAAGAGUAAGAUUGCUGAUUUUCUCUGCUCACUCACAAGUUGGAAGAUCAGGGUAACAAAGGAGAAACUAUAUUCCAAGGAGACAGAGUGGAAAAUCACUGGGACUCAAGUGGUGGGGGGUUUAGCUAAUAUGCAUGGCCAAAGAAUAAAAUAAUGCCGAGAAGUAGGAAGCCGUCCAAAACUCCAGCCCUGGCUCCCUGCAUGGAUGGAGGAGGGGGAGAGGGGCUGGCUGGGAGGGGUCAGGAGGAAGGGCAGCAGCAAUCACGUGGCCAGUCCGGAUUUGGGUGGCCAUCAUGAGAGGAAAGGAGCGGCGGUGGUCACGGGAGAAACCCAUGAUUGACAGCCCAGUUCUCACAAGCGUUAACUCCAGGGCAGGAAUUUGGUCUGAGCUUGAGCAAACGCAUGUUGGAAGCACUCUGCUCUGAAGGACCACCCGCUUGCGGAGUUGAACAAGAUAAGAAGUCAUCAAACUGGAAAGUCAGCGUCAUUAUUAGAAUUACAAAAUCCAAGUGGGUAGCCAUUCCAGCUUUGAUCUGGAAGUUCUAACCCCCAUUGAGGCUUCAGUAACUGUCACGCCUACAAGGCGGGGCCAAGAGAAGACCCUGAAGACCCGAGAUCCAGAUGCGCCACCUCGCUUGGUUCCUGGACCCUGGACGCUGGAGGUAGACCUAGCAGAGUUCUCCAGAGAACACGGCCAGACUGUGCUACGUCUUCCCCAGAUCCUGCAACCUAUUAUCCCUUCAUUUGUAAGUUACGCCACUAAAUAAACCUCCCUUUUAACUACAUAGAGUGGCCUUAAUAAUUUCACCAAUACCCCACCUGAUACUUUAUGUAUUUUGGAUGUUCCCUAUGUGGUGGGUGCGUUAAUUCUGUAGUGAUUUUGAAUCUCUCUCUCUCCCAAUGUGCUGCUUCCCCUUCUUGGGUCUUUCAGUGUCUCUAUUAGAUUUCCCAUCUUCAAAGUGAGGUGAGUGCAUUUCACAAUGUGUGCAUUGAUUCCUGUCUCCCAGAAUCCCCUUGCGUACCUGCACCUGCCCCUUGCUCACCCUAAGGAUGCUGUCCUGGUCCUCUUCCAUCCACUAUUAGCUCCUGCACACAGGAUGAGGCAGGCAAGUCUGAAGUGGUGUUUGCUUCAUUUUGUUUUUAUGUCUUCAGAAAGCUGGCAGUGCCAGAAGAAAGCUGUGUGUAAUGGCACGAAGGGUGUGUGUGGCAAAUAGACCUUUGGCUUUAGUUUAACUCUCAGGGGUAGAGCCAGUUUUUCUUCUACAUUUAGAAUAGGUUUUAAAUAAAACUUAACAAAUAAAUACAUAAAUGACUUACAAAAAUAUCAAAAUAAAUAUGAAAUAUCCAAUGAAUAUAGUUUUGUUUGUUUGUUUCAUUCAUUUUCUCUUUUUCAAUACCCAACCAGGAACACAUUUUAGAAUCUACACAAUAUAAAUAUAAUUAACACUUGAAUAAGUACCGUGUGACAAGUGUGUUUUACGUUGUUAAAUAUAUAAUAUAUAUAAUUAACACUUGAAUAAAUAUUGUGUGACAAGUACUUUGCUAAGUGCUUUACAUAGUUAACUUGGUCAUCAGAGCAGUCUCACCAGGGUGGUACUAUACUCUGUCUUAUACAGAUGAAGAAAACGAAGCACAGAUAUGUAAGUAAUUGACCCAAGGUACAAAGGCUAAAAGCCCAAGCAAACACUUUAAGGAAAUGGGUGGAGUGACUCAGUCUUGCUGCAUUCCAGAUCUCCCUCACCACCCUCACAUCCCAGCAAACUUCCUCUUCCAUUCUGAGCUUAUGCUUUUCUAGGUAGCAAAGGGUUUUGCUCCUAAGAAAACAAAAACUAGAAGUUUGGAGAUGUGACAUUAGAUCAAUGUCAUCUGUAUUAUUUGACCCCAUGAGUGAAGGUCAUACUCAAGAUUCAGAGGAUCAUGGGAUCUGGUCUCCAUAGAGAGCAGAUUUAACUGUAUGGUAAAGAGAAAUCUAUAUGCUAUAGUUAGAAGAGGGAACUCUCAAAACAUUUCAAGACAAAGACUCCUUUUCUGAAAAAAGUAACAUUUCGUAGAACCCUAGUAGAUAAACAAAGAAGCAAAAUCAUUGAUUUAUUAAUAAAAGCAUGGUUUCUAAGUUUAAAUUUGUGUUUGGUCAAUAUAAAAGCAAUUAGGCACAAAAUUGUUUCCAGCACAAUGGUGAAUAGUUACCAUGGAAACCUUCCUGACAAGAAUGCUGAAACUAAAAGGUUAAAAGGAAUAGGCCUGGGGAGAUGGCUCGGUGGUUAAGAGCACAUACUGCCUUUGGAGAGGAUCUGGGUCAGUUCCCAGUUCCCACACAUUGGCACACAACUGUCAGUAACUCCAGUUCCUGGGGACCCAACACUCCUCUGGUCUCCAGGGGCACCAGGCAUGUAUGUAGUACAUAUACAUACAUGCAAACAAAACAUUCAUACACAUAAAAACAAACAAGUCUUUUAAAGAAAGAAAAUCAAGCCAGGUAGUGGUAGCGCACACCUUUAAUCCCAGCACUCAGGAGGCAGAGGCAGGUGGAUCUCUUUGAGUUCCGAGGCCAGCCUGGUCUACAAAGCGAGUUCCAGGAAAGGCUCAAAGCUACACAGAGAAACCCUGUCUCGAAAACAAACAAACAAACAAAAAACAUAAAAAAGAAAGAAAAUCAAAGUUUGCAUGUGGUGGUGCACAACAGUAAUCCCAGAACUCUAGGAGACAGAGCCAGAGGACCUUGAAUUUGAGGCCGGUCUGGGCUCUAGUGUCCAGAUCAAUGGCAAGCAGGCAAGCUCAGUUCUUUUCUAAAACUGUCCUUCAUGUCCCAGAGAAAAGCUAGAAAGUUACAUGAAGGGCCAAGGUUGGGGGAAAAGGCCCAGGACAUGCCUAAGCUGGCGCUUCUCACAGGAAGUUGGUGCCUAGAACAAGCGCUCUCAAGGGGCUGCCCUCGGAGCAGAGGAAGGACCGAAACAGAUAAAGGCAGAACAGUAAGAGAACAGCUAGGAAGCCUGUCUCAGCCACAUCCCUUUGAGAAUUUGUCUCCUAACAAGUCAGGUCUGUGUAUAUUGGGUCAUCAUACUGACCCUGCACUUUCUAACUACUGAACUAGAGAAUUAAAUGUAAACAGUUUUAGUAAAACAGUAUCCUAAAACAAAUGGGAACAGCAAACAUAGAGUUUAAAGACAUUAGCCAGACUAAAAACCACCAGCUAUUCCAUAGGAGUUUCAGAACAAAUGAAUAGUUUACAGUCCAAAUCCACAAAGUAAGUAAGAGUUCUUAUGAGGGUGAGAACUCAUGGAGAAAAGGAGCUGAAAGCAAAGACUUCAUUCGUUGGAACAAUCUGGAAAGUCAUGUGAAACAACUGCUUUUAAUCUGUUUAUCAACUAUUCUCAAAGAAAUAGAAAAUAGGAAUUUGGAACCUUGAAAUAAAAACAUAGCACUAAAACUAACACCGUGUCAGCUAAGCAGCAGAUUAGACACAGGUGAAGCAAGUCCAUUACCCAGGAAAGGUGUAAAAGUAUUGGUUCAGAUAUGUCCAGAGAUACAAACAGAUGGGAAAUGUGAAAAAGAGGGUAGGAAAUUUGGAAGGUAGAUGAGACAGUUGGCUGUGUGUCCAAAGGAGCAAUAUUGAAGAUAGAAUAGAUGAGAACUUUUCAGAGCUUUUUAAAGAUAACAAUUCACAGAUCCAAAGAUUCCAAAGGAUCUUGAGCAGGAGAGGAGGGGGAGGAAGGACUCCAUAUCUUGAUUUGUUGUUGUUGCUGCUGUUGUUUUGUCUUUUUUCAAGACAGAGUUUCUCUGCAUAGCCCUGGCUGUCCUGGAACUGGCUCUGUAGACCAGGCUGGCCUCGAACUCACAGAGAUCCACCUGCCUCUGCCUCCCGAGUGCUGGGAUUAAAGGUGUGUGCCACCGCUGCCUGGCUCAUAUCUUGAUUUAUUAUUUGUGAAACUGAUGAACAUUUAAAAAGGAGAUUAUAAUGUUAGUUCUGGAAGACAAAAUAUUCGUAUGAACAAAAGCAGAGUUUACCAUAGGCUUCUGGGUGGAUGAUUUAUGUCUUACAUUAGCCCCCAAACCUUAAGGUUGACACCAGAUAUUUGCAGAAGUGCUCUGCCAUCUAUUAAACACUACUGAGACUACAGGGAUGGCCUCAAACACCUUGUUUUACUGGUGAGGCAUGUUACAGUGAGCUGGAGUCUGCUGGACCCAGGACCAGAACUCGGGUCGUUCAACUCAACUCAAAGGGCAAUUGUUGUGAAUAUUUUGCUCCCAUCCUCCUGGUAUUGCUUUAUCAUAUUAAACAACAGCAAAGAAAAAACAAAAUGUGAGGGAAAUUACAGUUCAAUCUAUCAGGGAGGGUUUUUGUUUUGUUUUUAGUGCUAUUCCUGUUUCGUGUAUGGGAUUUAAUCACUGACCGCAUUGCCAGUCUCCAGGAAGACUGCUCUGCUGUUCACCCUGUUCGUGGUGGACGGGAAUGUGGCCCUGACUUGCUUCCUCCUUGUGUGCAAGAAGGCAUUCAUCGCAAAGAAUGGUUGGUCUGGUUCCAGGACCCUGGUCUCUGUCACACCAUCGAUUCUGGGCUGUCACUGGGACUGACUCUUCCUGGACAUCCUGUUGCUGCCCCCUGUCAUGGAACUCCUGCAGCCCUGUGACCCUCUUCUUAAAAAAUAAAAAAAUUCUACUACAGCAGAACAUUGGAGCAAGGGUUAUGACAGGCUCUCACUGUGUGGCCCAGGGUGACUUUCAGCCCUCCAGUUUCCACCUCCCAAGUGCUGGGGUUAAGACCCUAGACAGGCACACCCAGCAGGAGAACAUUUUUAAAAGUGCUCUUGAUCAACUGUUUUUUCCUCCGAAACACAAGUACAGUGUGAGAGCUUGCUUCUUUUACUAAUGUUUUCUUCACUUAUUAACAUUGCUUCGCAACUAGGUAGUGGCAGAAGAUUGCUCUGUCCCCAGACUCCAAUGAUAGGGGAGACUUGCAUUUUUUUCCCCUAAAGUGUUUUUAAUGCAAGUCUGGGGUGGGGAAAAAACCAAACAAACAAUAUUUCUUCAGACUGGCAGAGCAUGUUUCCCCGUGAGGUAUCAGAAUAAUUAAAAUGAGAAAGGAAAAAAAAAAACCCCACAAGCAUAGACAAGUUUGGGGUAGAUCUGGAAUUUUUAUGUAUAAUUAGUAGAAGUGUUAAUUUGCUACUGCCACUAUGGAAAACAACGUGGCAUUUCCCUCUAAGCCUCAACAAAUGCACAUCUUUGGUCCAGAAGUUCCACUGGAAAGUAUGCACUCAAUACUGAGACACAAAAGUGUUCACCAGAAGGUGCACAGGGAAUGCUCUGAGCGGUCCUGGCCAUCCAUCUCUAAGUAGGGAAUAGCACACACGUCCAUCUGCCUUGUAACAGAUGUGCUAUGCUGCAUUUAUUUUGGGGAAUUCUAAUCAGUUAUGUGAAGUUAAAACCUGAACAAACAACAAAACUGUGUCUUAGAAAGGCAGAUGUUGAGGGAAAAGCAGGACAUAUUGUUCAAAACUGCACAUGAAUUACAGUUACGCAUUGCUUAAUGAUGGGGACACAUUCUGAGAAAUACAUCGUUGUGUGACGAUUACACGGUGUAGUUACACAACCUAGGAUGUCUCAUGAGCCAUAUCAGCACUAUAAUCUUAUGGGACCACUGUUGUGGUCUGUCAUUGACGGAAGCAUGAUCACGCACAGAGGACCAUGUAUGGCAUUGGGAAACAUGAUAAUGGUUGCCUUUGAGAUGGAAUAUUAGAGGGGUGAAUGAGGAGACUUCUGGGGUCCAGUAGUCUUCUGAUUGUUUACAUAAUUACAGAGGUUUGUGUAGUUCAUGACAGUUCAUGAAACAUACAAUUUGUUUAAUUUUGUGCCAUAUUCUGUAUAUUUGUUAAAAAUCAAUAAAAUGCCAGCUUCUUUGGUGUUAA
Peromyscus californicus insignis is the source of this 6499-nucleotide long non-coding RNA. RefSeq lists it as uncharacterized. Lineage: Eukaryota; Metazoa; Chordata; Mammalia; Rodentia; Cricetidae. The record is from RefSeq and is a predicted model, not a curated record. The transcript has 4 exons.